UUAACCUCCGAUCACGCAAGAUUACCCGCUGAA
This 33-nucleotide ribosomal RNA is filed under the name Eunicella cavolini. Its description in RNAcentral is "Eunicella cavolinii partial 28S ribosomal RNA". Lineage: Eukaryota; Metazoa; Cnidaria; Anthozoa; Malacalcyonacea; Eunicellidae. The record is from RNAcentral.